This is a long non-coding RNA of Eptesicus fuscus (big brown bat), 604 nucleotides long. RefSeq lists it as uncharacterized. The record is from RefSeq and is a predicted model, not a curated record. The transcript has 4 exons. Lineage: Eukaryota; Metazoa; Chordata; Mammalia; Chiroptera; Vespertilionidae.
CCAAGACCUGACAAUGACAUCUUAGGACAGACCGAGGGACCAAGGAAUGAGAGAGAAGCUCCUUGGACUUUGCCAGAGACCUCCACAUGGACGGGAGAGCUGCGAGGUCAGCCAGGUGGAUUGCUUGGGAAAUCUAUGCAGAGGAAAAUGAUACUUAAAGAAAAAGAGGCCAGCCUUUAAAUGCCUUUGAACUCUGCCAGAGUCUCUUCUUUGGCACAUCAUGGAAUGUCCUGGGCUCAGCCCUAGAACCACAUCACCUCCUGGCAUGAAGGCUUCCAACUAAUUGAUUACCAAACUAGGUCCAAACCCCGGGCCUAAGGAGAAAAUCUCACUGGCCCAGAUUGGGUCCACUGUCCAUCUCUGACCCAAUGAGCUCUGACCAGUAUAAGAAGCUCCUUCUUCAGGAUGCAUUGCUCUCCCUAAGCUCCUGCAGCCAGAAGGUGGAGUGGAGCCACCUCUGAGCUCAACCCAAGUUCUGUCCAGCGGAGGCACCGUGAUACCGUGCAAAGAGCACUGUGUUCAAGAGCCAUGCGGCCUGGGUCCCGCACUCCACUCUCCCAUCUCCCACUCAGCUGCUGGGAAGUGAGGCCCCAUCUCUGGACUU